This is a long non-coding RNA of Myotis daubentonii (Daubenton's bat), 1124 nucleotides long. RefSeq lists it as uncharacterized. The record is from RefSeq and is a predicted model, not a curated record. NCBI's taxonomy places the organism in Eukaryota, Metazoa, Chordata, Mammalia, Chiroptera, Vespertilionidae.
CAAGUAUGGAGACACUCUGUGAUGGUGGUGGCAUCCACGAAGUAGCCAGCGCACAGGCAGCAGACGAUGUGUUCAUUCAAGUCUUUGAUCUUUACUCGGACCUCCUCCUGCGGACACACCCUCCGGCUUAGCUCCCGGGGGCUGACACUACCCCUCGCCCAGCAGAGGUCUCCGCGCAUAGCGGGGGCUCCCUUCACGUGGACUGGCCCGAUCUUCCUUUCCCAGGGGAGACCAUACCACGACGGCGGCACAACACGCAGGCGUCUUAGCCCAGAGUUUGGCAACUCGGACCACAAUCGCGCAGGCGCACUGUGACCCCCUCCUCUGCGCAGGCGCACUGGGUGCCCGGCCGGUCCCGGCCUGUCCUCUAGUCGGCCCCAGUCAGCCCCGCUAGCCGACCACAGCAGUAACCCUGCCGCCCCUGCACCUCGUUCCGUAGCGGGUCCAUCUUGUACACUGACUGGAGCUGGUUCCGAAGCCUCAUCGCGAUCGCAAUCUGGCCCCCCUGAGGAGACGCCAUCUUAAAGGCUGAUCCUGGCUUGCCACUUCCGGUGCCGCCUGCAGGGCGGGACUUGUCGCCGAGCAACGAGGGCUUAGGUCUUUUCGGAUUCGCUGACUCUCCGUAAGGCCCCGCCCACGUCCUUUCUCCCCCGUGUGCUCACCUGAGCCCCAGUGGCCCCUCCCCCUCCGCAGUUGGUAAUUGGGGAGCGGGGGGGUGUGGGGAGGGGCCGAUCUCAUUGACCCCCUGCAGUAAUAAUCAUCGAAGACCUGACCGGACCUCGGGACGAACUUUUGGGGCCUGCAGAAGCCUGCCUCCUCCUUCCCCCGAAGGCCGGGCGUCUCCGCCCGCCACCGCUCAGGGUCGCCCAGCUCUGGUGACAACCACGCUAAAGCCCCUCCCGCGCUCUCCGUGUUAUGUCGCCCUCGUCGGCCGCCGCUAGACAAUGCGGAGCUACAUCCGACGGUGGGCCUUCUCCCGGCUCCAGGGCGGGAGUUUCUCGGGGCUUCGCGGAGGCUCGGGGAGGGCGACGGGAGGAGGAACCCCUAGAGACUUGGUAGUGAUCUUACAUCCCCCCCCGCCGUCCUCCCCUGCCGCCGCGAGGAGGGGGGCAGGCCCUCGUUAA